Long non-coding RNA from Ochotona curzoniae (black-lipped pika), 219 nucleotides. RefSeq lists it as uncharacterized. The transcript is spliced from 3 exons. The record is from RefSeq and is a predicted model, not a curated record. Lineage: Eukaryota; Metazoa; Chordata; Mammalia; Lagomorpha; Ochotonidae.
UAAUUGUCAGAGAUGAGAACUGAGCUGAUCAGGCCUAGCUCAACCCCUGCAUCCCUGCUGGAGCUGUCCUGGGUCACCAGAACUUCUUCCUCAGGGCUCCUGCUUUCUGCAUCAUGAGCUAGCCUUCUGUAUCAUGAGCUAGCAUUUGUUGUCUACACUGAACUCGUCCAAUGGGGAAAUGAAUGGUCUUUCUUUCUACAGGAUGGCAUAUCAUGAGAC